ACUCCUACGGGAGGCAGCAGUGGGGAAUAUUGCACAAUGGGCGCAAGCCUGAUGCAGCCAUGCCGCGUGUAUGAAGAAGGCCUUCGGGUUGUAAAGUACUUUCAGCAGUGAGGAAGGCGGGUACGUUAAUAGCGUGCUCGUUUGACGUUAGCUGCAGAAGAAAGCACCGGCUAACUCCGUGCCAGCAGCCGCGGUAAUACGGAGGGUGCGAGCGUUAAUCGGAAUUACUGGGCGUAAAGCGCAUGCAGGUGGUUUGUUAAGUCAGAUGUGAAAGCCCGGGGCUCACCUCGGAAUUGCAUUUGAAACUGGCAGACUAGAGUACUGUAGAGGGGGGUAGAAUUUCAGGUGUAGCGGUGAAAUGCGUAGAGAUCUGAAGGAAUACCGGUGGCGAAGGCGGCCCCCUGGACAGAUACUGACACUCAGAUGCGAAAGCGUGGGGAGCAAACAGGAUUAGAUACCCUGGUAGGAUAGCG
RNAcentral lists this ribosomal RNA (473 nucleotides) under uncultured bacterium. Its description in RNAcentral is "bacterial SSU rRNA". It matches the Rfam family "Bacterial small subunit ribosomal RNA", at positions 335 to 799 of the family's 1533-position model. The record is from RNAcentral.